RNAcentral lists this ribosomal RNA (204 nucleotides) under Triticum aestivum (bread wheat). Its description in RNAcentral is "partial small subunit ribosomal RNA". The record is from RNAcentral. Lineage: Eukaryota; Viridiplantae; Streptophyta; Magnoliopsida; Poales; Poaceae.
AUGCCCAUCCCGCCUCAUAUUCUGCCGGAAUGGUAUUUCCUACCGAUACAUGCCAUUCUUUGCAGUAUACCUGACAAAGCGGGCGGUGUAGCCGCAAUAGCACCAGUUUUUAUAUCUCUCUUGGCUUUGCCUUUUUUUAAGAAAGGCAUGUGUGUAGUUCAAGUUUUUGACCGAUUCACCAAGGAAUAUAAUCCCGACGAGUAG